GCCGUAUCACGUUGAAACACCGGUUCCCGUACCAUCACCGAUGUUAAGCAACGUCGAGCCUGGUCAGUACCUAUCUGGGUGACCGUUUGGGAAUACCAGAUGCUGUAAG
Non-coding RNA from Acanthosepion pharaonis, 109 nucleotides. The record is from the annotation of a GenBank genome assembly. NCBI's taxonomy places the organism in Eukaryota, Metazoa, Mollusca, Cephalopoda, Sepiida, Sepiidae.